GACUGAUUGCUUCAGCAACCCCACAAAUUAAUUACCACGACCUUGACUUUAAAGGCUUCCUCCAUAUGAGUAGCAGUACUUGCUUUGGCAACCAAACAAUUUAGUCGGCUAGACAUUAAUUGGUUCACACGUCUUUGUUUUUUCUUUUAAGUUCAGCCUUUCCCGGAAGACGCCUCCUCCAUCAACUACCUGCUUUAGCAAGUCCACACACAAACCAUGAUCCAACGCUUAUAAAAGCAUACCGAUUGAAACAAUUUCCUUCAAACAAAGAAAAAAACAGAGUAAGAAAUGGGUGUCAGGUAUCUGCUCAUGACCUUAGUGUUCUAUGGAGGACUACUACUACUCUUUGGAUCCACGGCUUUCAUGGGUACCCAUGUCUCUUUGUCUAAUUACUUUGAUCAACCUCCAUCCAACCACUUCUAUCCUAAAUAUUUGAAGGUGGUUUCCCGGAAAAAGAGCACACCACCACCGCCAGCCCCUAUUUUGAAUGUACCAGUUCAUUAUAGGCGGCUGCCGCCGCCGCCACCACCACCAGCCCCUGCUCGGAAUUUACCACAACAUCAGCGCAUACCUCCAUCUAUGCCAAAUCCGAGCCUGAAGCCAUCACCACCACCACCAACAUCGUCAAAGUUGGAAUCAUCGCCGCUGCCACCAGUAUGAAGAAGACUUUGAUGCAGAUGAGGAGGAGGAGGCUAGUCUGAGGAGGCGGCUCCACCAGAAUAUUGAGUUGGAGUCACUUGUAUUGUUGAAAAAUAUUUCCCUUACCUUUAUUUUAUGUAUUUUGGAUUUCUGACAAUGUUAAACUUGUAAUAUUUUGAUACGUUUGUUUUAAGUGAAUUUGUAUUUAAAUAAAAUUAUGGUACUUAGUUGAA
Molecule: long non-coding RNA, 872 nt
Organism: Carya illinoinensis
Lineage: Eukaryota; Viridiplantae; Streptophyta; Magnoliopsida; Fagales; Juglandaceae
Exons: 2
Source: RefSeq, a predicted model, not a curated record